Molecule: ribosomal RNA, 384 nt
Filed under: uncultured bacterium
Lineage: Bacteria
Description: bacterial SSU rRNA
Rfam family: Bacterial small subunit ribosomal RNA
Source: RNAcentral
AUUGAACGCUGGCGGAAUGCUUUACACAUGCAAGUCGAGCGGCAGCGCGGGGCAACCUGGCGGCGAGCGGCGAACGGGUGAGUAAUGUAUCGGAACGUAUCCUUAAGUGGGGGACAACUAGUCGAAAGACUAGCUAAUACCGCAUACGAUCGAGAGAUGAAAGUGGGGGACCGCAAGGCCUCACGCUUUUGGAGCGGCUGAUAUCCGAUUAGCUUGUUGGUGAGGUAAAGGCUUACCAAGGCUAUGAUCGGUAGCUGGUCUGAGAGGAUGAUCAGCCACACUGGGACUGAGACACGGCCCAGACUCCUACGGGAGGCAGCAGUGGGGAAUUUUGGACAAUGGGGGCAACCCUGAUCCAGCCAUUCCGCGUGAGUGAAGAAGGCC